GGCAGGGUCUCGGUAUAUAGUCCAUGCUGGCCUUGAACUCAUGGGCCAUCCUUUUGCCUCAGCUUCCUGAAUGCUGGGAUUACAGGGUCUCACUAUGCAGUUCAGGCUGGCCUUGAGCUCACUGUGUAGCCCAGGCUGGCCUCAAACUUGCAAUGAUCAUCUUGCCUCAGCCUCCCGAGUGCUGGCAUUACAGGAGUUGGUUACUUUGUCCCAGCAGGGAGAGAAAAGUAACCAAGACAUCUCCACUGAUUCACCUUUUCAAUCAGGCCUCAUCUCCUAACAGUACCUUCGGCUACGAGCUCACUGAUGCUUUACUCCAUAGAUGAGUGAGGAUAACACUACAUGACCCAAAAGCACUGUGAAAGCCCCAACUCUGAACAGUGAGACUUUUGGGGCAAGGUUAGGUUUAAACCAUUGUGGACAUUCAUUCUCAUCUAGUCCUGGGUGUAGGCAAAGCUAGUGGAAAGCCAUUGUUCUUUCAGAACACCAGAUCUGAGCCCAGGUAGGCUGCUUCUGUGUGAGCAGUGGAGUAUGAGUGCCAGGUUUGUGAUCCAGGCAGAUGAAUUAUUUUGUAAGUGUGGUUAAUUGAGUCAUAAAUCACAGUCUCGUACCCCACAUGACCCCUUUGUGUUUCUUCUAUCAAAACAAAGCUCUCCAUUAAAAUUGAAGGUCAGUUAAACAAU
Long non-coding RNA from Cavia porcellus (domestic guinea pig), 683 nucleotides. RefSeq lists it as uncharacterized. NCBI's taxonomy places the organism in Eukaryota, Metazoa, Chordata, Mammalia, Rodentia, Caviidae. The record is from RefSeq and is a predicted model, not a curated record. The transcript has 3 exons.